AUUGAACGCUGGCGGCAGGCUUAACACAUGCAAGUCGAGCGGGGUGAUGGUGCUUGCACUAUCACUUAGCGGCGGACGGGUGAGUAAUGCUUAGGAAUCUGCCUAUUAGUGGGGGACAACAUCUCGAAAGGGAUGCUAAUACCGCAUACGUCCUACGGGAGAAAGCAGGGGAUCACUUGUGACCUUGCGCUAAUAGAUGAGCCUAAGUCGGAUUAGCUAGUUGGUGGGGUAAAGGCCUACCAAGGCGACGAUCUGUAGCGGGUCUGAAAGGAUGAUCGGCGACACUGGGACUGAGACACGGCCCAGACUCCUCGGGGAGGCAGCAGUGGGGAAUAUUGAAGAAUGGGGGGAACCCUGAUCCAGCCAUGCCGCGUGUGUGAAGAAGGCCUUAUGGUUGUAAAGCACUUUAGGCGAGGAGGAGGCUCUUUUGGUUAAUACCCAAGAUGAGUGGACGUUACUCGCAGAAUAAGCACCGGCUAACUCUGUGCCAGCAGCCGCCGUAA
RNAcentral lists this ribosomal RNA (503 nucleotides) under uncultured bacterium. RNAcentral describes it as "partial 16S ribosomal RNA". It matches the Rfam family "Bacterial small subunit ribosomal RNA", at positions 30 to 523 of the family's 1533-position model. The record is from RNAcentral.